GAGAGAUGACACAAGAACUGCUAAUUCCUGUACCUGAAGUUAAACCCUCAGCUCUCUCA
Molecule: transfer RNA, 59 nt
Filed under: Abronia graminea
Lineage: Eukaryota; Metazoa; Chordata; Lepidosauria; Squamata; Anguidae
Also listed under: 1 other name
Description: tRNA-Ser specifying AGY codons
Source: RNAcentral